This 429-nucleotide ribosomal RNA is filed under the name Gemmatimonadota bacterium. RNAcentral describes it as "Gemmatimonadetes bacterium partial 16S ribosomal RNA". It matches the Rfam family "Bacterial small subunit ribosomal RNA", at positions 355 to 776 of the family's 1533-position model. Lineage: Bacteria; Pseudomonadati; Gemmatimonadota. The record is from RNAcentral.
UAGGGAAUCUUCGGCAAUGGACGAAAGUCUGACCGAGCAACGCCGCGUGAGUGAAGAAGGUUUUCGGAUCGUAAAACUCUGUUGUUAGAGAAGAACAAGGACGUUAGUAACUGCACGUCCCCUGACGGUAUCUAACCAGAAAGCCACGGCUAACUACGUGCCAGCAGCCGCGGUAAUACGUAGGUGGCAAGCGUUGUCCGGAUUUAUUGGGCGUAAAGCGAGCGCAGGCGGUUUCUUAAGUCUGAUGUGAAAGCCCCCGGCUCAACCGGGGAGGGUCAUUGGAAACUGGGAGACUUGAGUGCAGAAGAGGAGAGUGGAAUUCCAUGUGUAGCGGUGAAAUGCGUAGAUAUAUGGAGGAACACCAGUGGCGAAGGCGGCUCUCUGGUCUGUAACUGACGCUGAGGCUCGAAAGCGUGGGGAGCAAACAGG